GACGAACGCUGGCGGCGUGCCUAACACAUGCAAGUCGAGCGAGGUUGCGGAUGGGUGCUUGCACCCUGAAGCUACCUAGCGGCGGACGGGUGAGUAACGCGUGAGUAACCUGCCUUAUACAGGGGGAUAACAACGAGAAAUCGUUGCUAAUACCGCAUAAGACCACGGUAUCGCAUGGUACAGGGGUAAAAGGAGCAAUCCGGUAUAAGAUGGACUCGCGUCCCAUUAGCUAGUUGGUGAGAUAACAGCCCACCAAGGCAACGAUGGGUAGCCGACCUGAGAGGGUGAUCGGCCACACUGGGACUGAGACACGGCCCAGACUCCUACGGGAGCAGCAGUGGGGAAUAUUGGGCAAUGGGCGAAAGCCUGACCCAGCAACGCCGCGUGAAGGAAGAAGGUCUUCGGAUUGUAAACUGCUUUUGUACGGAACGAAACGGCGAGCUCUAAUACAGUUUUGCUAAUGACGGUACCGUAAGAAUAAGCACCGGCUAACUACGUGCCAGC
This 504-nucleotide ribosomal RNA is filed under the name uncultured bacterium. RNAcentral describes it as "bacterial SSU rRNA". It matches the Rfam family "Bacterial small subunit ribosomal RNA", at positions 28 to 512 of the family's 1533-position model. The record is from RNAcentral.